UACGUAGGUGACAAGCGUUAUCCGGAAUUACUGGGCGUAAAGCGCACGCAGGUGGCUGAACAAGUCUGACGUGAAAUAUCCCGGCUUAACUGGGAGGGGUCGUUGGAAACUGUUUAGCUUGAGGCGACGAGAGGGGUGUAGAAUUCCCGGUGUAGUGGUGGAAUGCGUAGAUAUCGGGAGGAAUACCAGUGGCGAAAGCGGCACCCUGGCGUUAGCCUGACGCUCAUGUGCGAAGGCGUGGGGAGCGAACGGG
Molecule: ribosomal RNA, 253 nt
Filed under: uncultured bacterium
Lineage: Bacteria
Description: partial 16S ribosomal RNA
Rfam family: Bacterial small subunit ribosomal RNA
Source: RNAcentral